ACUGAACGCUGGCGGCAGGCUUAACACAUGCAAGUCGAGCGGGGUGAUGGUGCUUGCACUAUCACUUAGCGGCGGACGGGUGAGUAAUGCUUAGGAAUCUGCCUAUUAGUGGGGGACAACAUCUCGAAAGGGAUGCUAAUACCGCAUACGUCCUACGGGAGAAAGCAGGGGAUCACUUGUGACCUUGCGCUGAUAGAUGAGCCUAAGUCGGAUUAGCUAGUUGGGGGGGUAAAGGCCUACCAAGGCGACGAUCUGUAGCGGGUCUGAGAGGAUGAUCCGCAACACUGGGACUGAGACACGGCCCAGACUCCUACGGGGGGCAGCAGUGGGGAAUAUUGGACAAUGGGGGGAACCCUGAUCCAGCCAUGCCGCGUGUGUGAAGAAGGCCUUAUGGUUGUAAAGCACUUUAAGCGAGGAGGAGGCUCUUUUGGUUAAUACCCAAGAUGAGUGGACGUUACUCGCAGAAUAAGCACCGGCUAACUCUGUGCCAGCCGCCGCAGUAA
RNAcentral lists this ribosomal RNA (503 nucleotides) under uncultured bacterium. RNAcentral's name for it is "partial 16S ribosomal RNA". It matches the Rfam family "Bacterial small subunit ribosomal RNA", at positions 30 to 523 of the family's 1533-position model. The record is from RNAcentral.